GUGACGCCAGUCAGAGCCAGGCAGAUGUCAAUUACACAGGGCCUUCUCUGUCUUCCCGCCCCCUAGUGCCUGCACCUGCUCCCCAUUGGCUGAGCCCUGCUGAAGUCACCUAGCCAGGUGAUGUCAAUGAGAGCCAGGCAGCUGUCAAUUACACAGGGCCUUCUCUUCCCGCCCUCUAGCCCCUGCACCUGCUCCCCAUUGGCUGAACCCUGAUGAAGUCACCCAGCCAGGUGCUGUCAAUCAGAGCCAGGCAGAUGUCAAUUACACAGGGCCUUCUCUCUCUCUUCCCGCCCCCUAGCCCCUGCAUCUGCUCCCCAUUGGCUGAGCCCUGCUGAAGUCACCCAGCCAGGGUGAUGUCAAUCAGAGCCAGGCAGAUGUCAAUUACACAGGGCCUUCUCUGUCUUCCCGCCCCCUAGUGCCUGCACCUGCUCCCCAUUGGCUGAGCCCUGCUGAAGUCACCCAGCCAGGUGAUGUCAAUGAGAGCCAGGCAGCUGUCAAUUACACAGGGCCUUCUCUUCCCGCCCUCUAGCCCCUGCACCUGCUCCCCAUUGGCUGAACCCUGAUGAAGUCACCCAGCCAGGUGCUGUCAAUCAGAGCCAGGCAGAUGUCAAUUACACAGGGCCUUCUCUCUCUUCCCGCCCCCUAGCCCCUGCAUCUGCUCCCCAUUGGCUGAACCCUGAUGAAGUCACCCAGCCAGGUGAUGUCAAGCAGAGCCAGGCAGAUGUCAAUUACACAGGGCCUUCUCUCUCUCUCUCUCUUCCCGCCCCCUAGCCCCUGCACCUACUCCCUAUUGGCUGAGUCUAGCUGAAGUCACCCUGCUAUAGAGCCAGGCAGCUGUCAAUCACACAGGGCCCACCACAGCCCAGAGAUGGGUUGAGUGCGAAUCUGGCGAACCCUGUGAAUCACGUCAGCGCCUGCACAGUGGGAAGGGGUCCCCCCUGGCAAGUUGCUGCCAAGUUUCAACAGCGCUUAGAGGGGAAGCGGCAGAAGCAAUUCGGCUUCUCGAUGGGCUUGCCCCGGCGUGCACUUGCACGAAGCAUUGGCAGGAAGGAAGCUUACAAAUUCAUCUGGGGCCACCAGCUUCCGGGGAUCCGUGACGGGAUUUCACCAUGUUGGCUGGUGUCGAACUCCUGACCUCAAGUGAUCCACCCACCUCGGCCUCCUAAAGUGCUGGGAUUACAGAAUUGAAGGUCCCUGAUAAGACAUCUUUGAGGUCAGGCAUAAAUCAUCACUUCACAUCUUCACGGCAAUGCAACGAACACAAGUAUCUGUCUCCUUGGGUCUGUCUAACAAGGAGCAAAGCCUGGCCUCCCACCAGCAUCCAGGCAAUAGUGGAUUCCCUCUCCACAGAUGUCAAAAAAGAAACAGAUGCUCCCGCAGGUGAAAUGAGCUCUGGUCCACAAUGCAACACAGGCUGUGCAGAAAAUCAAAGAGGAACCAACCCAGAAGUAUCCCCCAGGACAAAUCAUUAAGGGGGAAAAGGCAAGUGGUACAACCCUUUAUUUUAUGAUUCUACUAGGAAAAAAAAUAGUGGUGUUCCUUAAAAUAUUGAGAUAACUGGCAGGUAGAAUGAACCAAAAACUAUUAACAGGGGUUCCCAGGAGAAUGGAGGACAGUUGAAACAGGGUGUGAGGUGGAGAGGCAUAAUUCGUUCUAGUGAUCCUGUCAUUCCAGCCUUUCCAAUGAUACUAUAUUGGUGAAUGCAUUGCCCAGAUAACAUUUAAAAAGGUUUUAAGUGGUUGGGCAUGG
Molecule: long non-coding RNA, 1749 nt
Organism: Pan troglodytes (chimpanzee)
Lineage: Eukaryota; Metazoa; Chordata; Mammalia; Primates; Hominidae
Exons: 3
Source: RefSeq, a predicted model, not a curated record